UACGGGUGGCWGCCAGUAGGGAAUCUUCCGCAAUGGGCGAAAGCCUGACGGAGCAAUGCCGCGUGAGUGAUGAAGGUUUUCGGAUCGUAAAGCUCUGUUGCCAGGGAAGAACGCUUGGGAGAGUAACUGCUCUCAAGGUGACGGUACCUGAGAAGAAAGCCCCGGCUAACUACGUGCCAGCAGCCGCGGUAAUACGUAGGGGGCAAGCGUUGUCCGGAAUUAUUGGGCGUAAAGCGCGCGCAGGCGGUCAUUUAAGUCUGGUGUUUAAUCCCGGGGCUCAACCCCGGAUCGCACUGGAAACUGGGUGACUUGAGUGCAGAAGAGGAGAGUGGAAUUCCACGUGUAGCGGUGAAAUGCGUAGAUAUGUGGAGGAACACCAGUGGCGAAGGCGACUCUCUGGG
RNAcentral lists this ribosomal RNA (401 nucleotides) under Paenibacillus mobilis. RNAcentral's name for it is "bacterial SSU rRNA". The record is from RNAcentral. Lineage: Bacteria; Bacillati; Bacillota; Bacilli; Caryophanales; Paenibacillaceae.